GAUGAACGCUGACAGAAUGCUUAACACAUGCAAGUCUACUUGAAUUUGGGUUUUUAACUUAGGUUUGGGUGGCGGACGGGUGAGUAACGCGUAAAGAACUUGCCUCACAGCUAGGGACAACAUUUAGAAAUGAAUGCUAAUACCUAAUAUUAUGAUAAUAGGGCAUCCUAUAAUUAUGAAAGCUAUAUGCGCUGUGAGAGAGCUUUGCGUCCCAUUAGCUAGUUGGAGAGGUAACAGCUCACCAAGGCGAUGAUGGGUAGCCGGCCUGAGAGGGUGAUCGGCCACAAGGGGACUGAGACACGGCCCUUACUCCUACGGGAGGCAGCAGUGGGGAAUAUUGGACAAUGGACCGAGAGUCUGAUCCAGCAAUUCUGUGUGCACGAUGAAGUUUUUCGGAAUGUAAAGUGCUUUCAGUUGGGAAGAAAGAAAUGACGGUACCAACAGAAGAAGUGACGGCUAAAUACGUGCCAGCAGCCGCGGUAAUACGUAUGUCACGAGCGUUAUCCGGAUUUAUUGGGCGUAAAGCGCGUCUAGGUGGUUAUAUAAGUCUGAUGUGAAAAUGCAGGGCUCAACUCUGUAUUGCGUUGGAAACUGUAUAACUAGAGUACUGGAGAGGUAAGCGGAACUACAAGUGUAGAGGUGAAAUUCGUAGAUAUUUGCAGGAAUGCCGAUGGGGAAGCCAGCUUACUGGACAGAUACUGACGCUGAAGCGCGAAAGCGUGGGUAGCAAACAGG
RNAcentral lists this ribosomal RNA (735 nucleotides) under uncultured Fusobacterium sp. RNAcentral's name for it is "bacterial SSU rRNA". It matches the Rfam family "Bacterial small subunit ribosomal RNA", at positions 28 to 776 of the family's 1533-position model. The record is from RNAcentral. Lineage: Bacteria; Fusobacteriati; Fusobacteriota; Fusobacteriia; Fusobacteriales; Fusobacteriaceae.